Molecule: ribosomal RNA, 253 nt
Filed under: uncultured bacterium
Lineage: Bacteria
Description: partial 16S ribosomal RNA
Rfam family: Bacterial small subunit ribosomal RNA
Source: RNAcentral
AACGUAGGAGACAAACGUUAUCCGGAGUUACUGGGCGUAAAGGGCGUGUAGGUGGUUGCGUAAGUCUGGCGUGAAAUUUUUCGGCUUAACCGGGAAAGGUCGUCGGAUACUGCGUAGCUAGAGGACGGUAGAGGCGUGUGGAAUUCCGGGUGUAGCGGUGGAAUGCGCAGAUAUCAGGAGGAACACCCAUAGCGAAGGCAGCUUGCUGGGACGAUACUGACGCUAAGGCUCGAAAGCGUGGGGAGCGAACAGG